AGAGUUUGAUCCUGGCUCAGGAUGAACGCUAGCUACAGGCUUAACACAUGCAAGUCGAGGGGCAGCAUGGUCUUAGCUUGCUAAGGCCGAUGGCGACCGGCGCACGGGUGAGUAACACGUAUCCAACCUGCCGUCUACUCUUGGACAGCCUUCUGAAAGGAAGAUUAAUACAAGAUGGCAUCAUGAGUCCGCAUGUUCACAUGAUUAAAGGUAUUCCGGUAGACGAUGGGGAUGCGUUCCAUUAGAUAGUAGGCGGGGUAACGGCCCACCUAGUCUUCGAUGGAUAGGGGUUCUGAGAGGAAGGUCCCCCACAUUGGAACUGAGACACGGUCCAAACUCCUACGGGAGGCAGCAGUGAGGAAUAUUGGUCAAUGGGCGAGAGCCUGAACCAGCCAAGUAGCGUGAAGGAUGACUGCCCUAUGGGUUGUAAACUUCUUUUAUAAAGGAAUAAAGUCGGGUAUGCAUACCCGUUUGCAUGUACUUUAUGAAUAAGGAUCGGCUAACUCCGUGCCAGCAGCCGCGGUAAUACGGAGGAUCCGAGCGUUAUCCGGAUUUAUUGGGUUUAAAGGGAGCGUAGAUGGAUGUUUAAGUCAGUUGUGAAAGUUUACGGCUCAACCGUAAAAUUGCAGUUGAUACUGGAUAUCUUGAGUGCAGUUGAGGCAGGCGGAAUUCGUGGUGUAGCGGUGAAAUGCUUAGAUAUCACGAAGAACUCCGAUUGCGAAGGCAGCCUGCUAAGCUGCAACUGACAUUGAGGCUCGAAAGUGUGGGUAUCAAACAGGAUUAGAUACCCUGGUAGUCCACACGGUAAACGAUGAAUACUCGCUGUUUGCGAUAUACAGCAAGCGGCCAAGCGAAAGCGUUAAGUAUUCCACCUGGGGAGUACGCCGGCAACGGUGAAACUCAAAGGAAUUGACGGGGGCCCGCACAAGCGGAGGAACAUGUGGUUUAAUUCGAUGAUACGCGAGGAACCUUACCCGGGCUUAAAUUGCAGAUGAAUUACGGUGAAAGCCGUAAGCCGCAAGGCAUCUGUGAAGGUGCUGCAUGGUUGUCGUCAGCUCGUGCCGUGAGGUGUCGGCUUAAGUGCCAUAACGAGCGCAACCCUUGUUGUCAGUUACUAACAGGUCAUGCUGAGGACUCUGACAAGACUGCCAUCGUAAGAUGUGAGGAAGGUGGGGAUGACGUCAAAUCAGCACGGCCCUUACGUCCGGGGCUACACACGUGUUACAAUGGGGGGUACAGAGGGCCGCUACCACGCGAGUGGAUGCCAAUCCCCAAAACCUCUCUCAGUUCGGACUGGAGUCUGCAACCCGACUCCACGAAGCUGGAUUCGCUAGUAAUCGCGCAUCAGCCACGGCGCGGUGAAUACGUUCCCGGGCCUUGUACACACCGCCCGUCAAGCCAUGGGAGCCGGGGGUACCUGAAGUGCGUAACCGCGAGGAGCGCCCUAGGGUAAAACUGGUGACUGGGGCUAAGUCGUAACAAGGUA
RNAcentral lists this ribosomal RNA (1486 nucleotides) under metagenome. RNAcentral describes it as "bacterial SSU rRNA". It matches the Rfam family "Bacterial small subunit ribosomal RNA". The record is from RNAcentral.